Molecule: ribosomal RNA, 403 nt
Filed under: uncultured bacterium
Lineage: Bacteria
Description: partial 16S ribosomal RNA
Rfam family: Bacterial small subunit ribosomal RNA
Source: RNAcentral
AUUGAACGCUGGCGGCAGGCCUAACACAUGCAAGUCGAGCGAGCGGCGGACGGGUGAGUAAUGUAUGGGGACUGCCCGAUAGAGGGGGUUAACCACUGGAAACGGUGGCUAAUACCCCACACUGUCGGAUAACCCACAUGUGUUUAGCUAGUAGGUAAGGGAAUGGCUUACCUAGGCGACGAGCCCUAGCUGGUCUGAGAGGAUGAUCAGCAACAAUGGGACUGAGACACGGCCCAGAAUCCUACGGAGGCAGCAGUGGGGAAUAUUGCACAAUGGGCGCAAGCCUGAUGCAGCCAUGCCGCGUGUAUGAAGAAGGCCCUAGGGUUGUAAAGUACUUUCAGUCGGGAGGAGUUACCGACAGAAGAAGCACCGGCUAACUCCGUGCCAGCAGCCGCGGUAAUAC